Molecule: non-coding RNA, 54 nt
Organism: Salmo salar (Atlantic salmon)
Lineage: Eukaryota; Metazoa; Chordata; Actinopteri; Salmoniformes; Salmonidae
Source: Rfam
AAUGCACCAAAUUGAAAGUCGCUCUGGAUAAGAGCGUCUGCUAAAUGACUUAAU